This 806-nucleotide ribosomal RNA is filed under the name uncultured bacterium. RNAcentral describes it as "bacterial SSU rRNA". It matches the Rfam family "Bacterial small subunit ribosomal RNA", at positions 8 to 794 of the family's 1533-position model. The record is from RNAcentral.
AGAGUUUGAUCAUGGCUCAGGACGAACGCUGGCGGCGUGCCUAAUACAUGCAAGUCGAGCGAAUGGAUUGAGAGCUUGCUCUCAAGAAGUUAGCGGCGGACGGGUGAGUAACACGUAGGUAACCUGCCUGUAAGACUGGGAUAACCCACGGAAACGUGAGCUAAUACCGGAUAGGCGAGACUCCCGCAUGGGAGAUUCGAGAAAGGCGGAGUAAUCUGCCACUUACAGAUGGACCUGCGGCGCAUUAGCUAGUUGGUAGGGUAACGGCCUACCAAGGCGACGAUGCGUAGCCGACCUGAGAGGGUGAUCGGCCACACUGGGACUGAGACACGGCCCAGACUCCUACGGGAGGCAGCAGUAGGGAAUCUUCCGCAAUGGACGAAAGUCUGACGGAGCAACGCCGCGUGAGCGAAGAAGGCCUUCGGGUCGUAAAGCUCUGUUGUUAGGGAAGAACAAGUACCGUUCAAAUAGGGCGGUACCAUGACGGUACCUGACGAGAAAGCCACGGCUAACUACGUGCCAGCAGCCGCGGUAAUACGUAGGUGGCAAGCGUUGUCCGGAAUUAUUGGGCGUAAAGCGCGCGCAGGCGGUUUCUUAAGUCUGAUGUGAAAGCCCACGGCUCAACCGUGGAGGGUCAUUGGAAACUGGGGAACUUGAGUGCAGAAGAGGAGAGUGGAAUUCCACGUGUAGCGGUGAAAUGCGUAGAGAUGUGGAGGAACACCAGUGGCGAAGGCGACUCUCUGGUCUGUAACUGACGCUGAGGCGCGAAAGCAUGGGGAGCGAACAGGAUUAGAUACCCUGGUAGU